This 497-nucleotide ribosomal RNA is filed under the name uncultured bacterium. RNAcentral describes it as "partial 16S ribosomal RNA". It matches the Rfam family "Bacterial small subunit ribosomal RNA", at positions 28 to 507 of the family's 1533-position model. The record is from RNAcentral.
GAUGAACGCUGGCGGCGUGCCUAAUACAUGCAAGUCGAGCGAACAGACGAGGAGCUUGCUCCUUUGACGUUAGCGGCGGACGGGUGAGUAACACGUGGGUAACCUACCUAUAAGACUGGGAUAACUUCGGGAAACCGGAGCUAAUUCCGGAUAAUAUUUCGAACCGCAUGGUUCGAUAGUGAAAGAUGGCUUUGCUAUCACUUAUAGAUGGACCUGCGCCGUAUUAGCUAGUUGGUAAGGUAACGGCUUACCAAGGCAACGAUACGUAGCCGACCUGAGAGGGUGAUCGGCGACACUGGAACUGAGACACGGUCCAGACUCCUACGGGAGGCAGCAGUAGGGAAUCUUCCGCAAUGGGCGAAAGCCUGACGGAGCAACGCCGCGUGAGUGAUGAAGGUCUUCGGAUCGUAAAACUCUGUUAUUAGGGAAGAACAAACGUGUAAGUAACUGUGCACGUCUUGACGGUACCUAAUCAGAAAGCCACGGCUAACUACGUG